Molecule: ribosomal RNA, 253 nt
Filed under: uncultured bacterium
Lineage: Bacteria
Description: partial 16S ribosomal RNA
Rfam family: Bacterial small subunit ribosomal RNA
Source: RNAcentral
UACGAAGGGGGCUAGCGUUGCUCGGAAUUACUGGGCGUAAAGCGCACGUAGGCGGUCUUUUAAGUCGGGGGUGAAAUCCUGGAGCUCAACUCCAGAACUGCCUUCGAUACUGGAAGACUUGAGUCCGGGAGAGGUGAGUGGAACUGCGAGUGUAGAGGUGAAAUUCGUAGGUAUUCGCAAGAACACCAGUGGCGAAGGCGGCUCACUGGCCCGGUACUGACGCUGAGGUGCGAAAGCGUGGGGAGCAAACAGG